Molecule: ribosomal RNA, 238 nt
Filed under: uncultured bacterium
Lineage: Bacteria
Description: partial 16S ribosomal RNA
Rfam family: Bacterial small subunit ribosomal RNA
Source: RNAcentral
CGGCGGACGGGUGAGUAACGCGUGGGUAACCUGCCCUGUACACACGGAUAACAUACCGAAAGGUAUGCUAAUACGGGAUAACAUAAGAAAUUCACAUGUUUUUCUUAUCAAAGCUCCGGCGGUACAGGAUGGACCCGCGUCUGAUUAGCUAGUUGGUGAGGUAAUGGCUCACCAAGGCGACGAUCAGUAGCCGACCUGAGAGGGUGAUCGGCCACAUUGGAACUGAGACACGGUCCAA